Molecule: small nucleolar RNA, 105 nt
Organism: Malania oleifera
Lineage: Eukaryota; Viridiplantae; Streptophyta; Magnoliopsida; Santalales; Ximeniaceae
Source: RefSeq, a predicted model, not a curated record
ACCUAAUGGUGUGGGCAUUUAUGGAGUAGGUCCCUAAAAUGCUCCCAGGUCUCAAAGAAAAUUCCCUAUCUGUUUGUGUGAAACUCGUGAUUGCCCUUUGUAGCU